This 450-nucleotide long non-coding RNA is filed under the name Trifolium pratense (red clover). RNAcentral describes it as "long non-coding RNA (TPRA_LNC005063)". The record is from RNAcentral. Lineage: Eukaryota; Viridiplantae; Streptophyta; Magnoliopsida; Fabales; Fabaceae.
UGUCACUAAUGUGUUUGAUAUUGUGGAUAUGAUCAAGGCCCUGUUUCUUUUUGAGUGAUAACUACUUGGCCAAACUUAACCUACCUUGUGAGAUAGUGAUCUUUUGUGUCCCCUGUUGAGCCUUAAAAUUGUGAAAAUUGUUUGUUUUAUAAACCCUGAAACCAAAAGAAUGGAAAAACAACUACUCUACCCUUGUCUUAGGAUAGGAGAGCAAUUGUAUUUCAAUUAGGGUCAUGUUAAAAAUUCAAGUUGGGGAGAAGUAGGUUACAAAUGUCAUAAAAAUAAUUUGGAAAAGUAGUGGAUUGGGUGAUUGAAAAGAGAAAAAUGUUGAAAAUAAAAGAUUGACACAAAAAGAAAGAAAAAGAAAAAUUUGUGAAAAAGAAAGUGUCAUUGUAAAGAAAGAAAAGAAUCACCAAUGAAAUAGGGGAGAAAGAAAAGAAAGGGAGUAAA